UCCAUGUGUAGCGGUGAAAUGCGUAGAUAUAUGGAGGAACACCAGUGGCGAAAGCGGCUCUCUGGUCUGUCACUGACGNUGAGGCUCGAAAGCGUGGGUAGCGAACAGGAUUAGAUGCCCUGGUAGUCCACGCCGUAGACGAUGAGUGCUAGGUGUUAGGCCCUUUCCGGGGCUUAGUGCCGGAGCUAACGCAAUAAGCACUCCGCCUGGGGAGUACGACCGCAAGGUUGAAACUCAAAGGAAUUGACGGGGGCCCGCACAAGCGGUGGAGCAUGUGGUUUAAUUCGAAGCAACGCGAAGAACCUUACCAGGUCUUGACAUCCCGAUGCUAUUCUUAGAGAUAGGAAGUUACUUCGGUACAUCGGAGACAGGUGGUGCAUGGUUGUCGUCAGCUCGUGUCGUGAGAUGUUGGGUUAAGUCCCGCAACGAGCGCAACCCUUAUUGUUAGUUGCCAUCAUUAAGUUGGGCACUCUAGCGAGACUGCCGGUAAUAAACCGGAGGAAGGUGGGGAUGACGUCAAAUCAUCAUGCCCCUUAUGACCUGGGCUACACACGUGCUAUAAUGGUCGGUACAACGAGUUGCGAGCCGGUGACGGCAAGCUAAUCUCUGAAAGCCGAUCUCAGUUCGGAUUGGAGGCUGCAACUCGCCUCCAUGAAGUCGGAAUCGCUAGUAAUCGCGGAUCAGCACGCCGCGGUGAAUACGUUCCCGGGCCUUGUACACACCGCCCGUCACACCACGAGAGUUUGUAACACCNG
Molecule: ribosomal RNA, 755 nt
Filed under: uncultured bacterium
Lineage: Bacteria
Description: bacterial SSU rRNA
Rfam family: Bacterial small subunit ribosomal RNA
Source: RNAcentral